Molecule: long non-coding RNA, 2721 nt
Organism: Zophobas morio
Lineage: Eukaryota; Metazoa; Arthropoda; Insecta; Coleoptera; Tenebrionidae
Exons: 3
Source: RefSeq, a predicted model, not a curated record
AUUUUACGAUCCAAAUUGGAGACUUUCCAGAGCAUCUGAGAAAUGAACAGAAUUGGUGUGAGUUAUGUGUUGCAACACCUCUGUUUAAAUUAGUCGAUAAGAUCAUAUUCAAAAACGAAACGAAACAAGAGGUUUUUGACAUGAAUUCCUCACCUCCUCCUAAAGCUCUUCUUUCUCCCUCUUCUUAUUCGUUAAUUUUCAACUACUCCCCUCCAACUCUGUUCUGUAUAAAAUUAAAUUAAUUAAGUUUUAUUCCGCAUUCGCGAGUGUUAUCGAUCGUUGUGCUCCUUCAAAAGUUUUUCUUAUUAAAACUUUUUUCGUGAUGAAUAACACGUUGAAUUCUUUGAAUGAACUUGCCUCGUGCACCUUUCCUCCUAUUGUGAAAGUUGAAGAGUUGACAGUCGGCGCGAAAUAUAAAAUUUUACAAAUCAAAAAAAUUUCUACCAGAUUCGGCCCUUGUGUGGUGUGCAGGCUCGAGGGGAAAGGUGAUAUUUUCCUUCCUAGAAGGCUAGAAAAGGACUUGGACGAUGACAUUAUAACUUAUUUGCUCGAUGGGCAAGGUUCGCAUCUCAUGUACCAGGGGAAAAAGGUUAUAUCUGGUAAACUGUUGCCAGCCAACAUCUUUGAAUUCGAGAAGAUUGAUCAUGAUGAAACGCUCCAGAAACAAUAAUUAAUAAUGUUUUCAUCAUCUUCUAAUACUACUACUUCUAAUACUGCUACCACUACUACUACUACUACUACUACUACGACUCCUACUACUACUACUAUUACUGCUACUGCUACUAAGGACAUCAUCAUCAUCAUCAUCAUCAUCAUCAUCAUCACCGAAGAUAUUGCGAAUGAGAGAGAGAAAUAUUUUAAAUAUUUGCGCCAUGAUCCACAAAAAUUCAGUAAGUUACAGAUGUUAAAUUUAAUAACGAUAAGGAAAUGGAGCAACGAAUUGUUACGAGAUGAAAAUAGAAAUAUCGAAGAAAAGAGAAAAAUGGAAAAAACCGGACGAGGGUUGUCUUCGCAAAUACCAUCUUCACCGAAACAACAAGAAGAAGAAAACGAAGAAGAAGAUUAGUCACUGGAAUGGAUUGAGAUAGCAUCGGCAUUCAAAUCGCGAAUAGUAACAGCAGCCAUCGUCAAUUUUUCGUAUGACGCAGGAAAGUUUUUAGAUACGGCUUUGGAAAUGGUUCACAAAAAAUUAGAGUCAUAUUUGGAAAAUUUCAAAGCGUUAAAAUUUAAUUUGGAAUUGAAUUUUAAAUUUAAAAAAACUUGCAACUAACGUUCCGUCUUCGAGCAAAAAGGAGAAGCCUGAAGCUGAGAUCUUGAGCGAUAGGAGUUUCAUCUGUGGCAAUAAAACACUUUUGGUCUCCUACAUGAAAGAAAGGGUUGAAGAGAUUCUAAGCGAGAAUAAGAGCAAGUUACUACAAAAUUUGGAGGAAUUCGAAUCGAAUGGAAGCGGAUGGAUACUGGACAGCGUCGUCAGUCUUUAAGUCAACAUCAACAAAUUCGCUCCAUUGUCGGCCGGUAGCUUCAUCUCUUUGUCGAAGGAACGCAGAUAGAAAGGUGGUAUAUUGAAUAUCGUUAAUCAAGAUAAAAAAUGUUUUAUAUGGUCUGUACUAGCUGCUCCUUAUAAAGUAAAUACUCUCAGCGAACUAAGUUCGAGCUAUUCUCAAAAUGUAGAGGAAAUUUUAAACCUUAAUUCGCUUUUGAUGCCUGUGAAAUUAUCAGAAAUUUACUAAAUUUGAACGCAACAAGUCUUCGAUCUUAAUAACAGUAUUCGGUUAUAGUUCUAAAGACUAAAAAAUUAUCGAUCCGCUUCACCACACCAAAGAAGUCAAACAAAAUCACAUCUAUUUACUUUAUUUAUUUAACAAAUUUCGAGCACAUUAUUGUUUAAUUACCGAUUUGGUUAGAAUCUGUUCAUCCGAAUUCUCAUAAUACUUGUUUUAUUUGCUCUAGAUGUUUAAAUUAUUUUGGUUCAAAAUCUAAAUACGAAACUUAUAUCGAGGACUGUAACUUAUUCAAAACUGUAAAGAUUGCCAUACCAGAAGAAGAAGAAUCCUAUAUUUGUUUUACAAAUUUCAAAGCUUUACUAAGUAAAACAACCUUUCGUUAUUUAUGUCGAUUUUGAAUGUUUAACAAAAAAAGUAUCAUCGUACCAACCGUCAAAAUUGAAUUCGUUUACUGAAAUUUAUCAAAAACAUAUUCCUUAUAGCGGAGCGUGUACAGUUAUUUGGUAUUUCGAUAGUUUACUAAAUUCUUUUAAAUUAUACAGAGCGUUAAACGAAAAUGAUCUUACUUCUGCUGCUCGGUUUGUUAGUCAAAUGCGUGCAGAAUGCUUGGAUUUAGAAUCUCUUUUCGAUAGUUGUCAGAAACCUAUGUCCCACUUAACGGAUGAGGAAAUCGAAAAUUUUCAGCAAACAGUUACAUGUCCCAUCUGUUCGAAUAAUUGAAUCAAUUUAAAGUGACUGCUUCUUUUUUCGAUGAUGAUGAAGAUUUCAGUUAACAUAAACAAAUACUCUCUUUCUCCGUUCGACGAUAUAUACGGUUCGUUUAUAGUCAUAAAAUAGUGACUUUUCCGUGGGGACAUUAUAAAAUUCCCAGUUUACAAGAAAAAGAAGAAGUAUGGAAGUUGAUUGUGAAGACGAUUAAUAGUUAUCUUAAUUAUGUUUAUUAAUUUUUUUUGUUUCUAUUAUAGUUUCGCUUUUAUAUAUAUUUUGUAUUUUUUAA